UACAGAGGGGGCAAGCGUUGUUCGGAAUUACUGGGCGUAAAGGGCGCGUAGGCGGCCCGCUAAGUCGAACGUGAAAUCCCCGAGCUCAACUCGGGAACUGCGUCCGAGACUGGCGGGCUUGAAUCCGGGAGAGGGAUGCGGAAUUCCAGGUGUAGCGGUGAAAUGCGUAGAUAUCUGGAGGAACACCGGUGGCGAAGGCGGCAUCCUGGACCGAUAUUGACGCUGAUGCGCGAAAGCCAGGGGAGCAAACGGG
This 253-nucleotide ribosomal RNA is filed under the name uncultured bacterium. RNAcentral's name for it is "partial 16S ribosomal RNA". It matches the Rfam family "Bacterial small subunit ribosomal RNA", at positions 524 to 776 of the family's 1533-position model. The record is from RNAcentral.